AGAAGUAUCAGAUCCCUCAUAUUCAUUGAGAGCCUCAAUCCUUUCUUUCAACCUCCCUCUUGUUUUCACUCAAUUUAGGAGAGCUGGGGACCGAACCCAGGGCCUUGUGCUUCCUAGAGACUUCCGGGCCCCUGGCUGCUGUAGGACAAGCCCCCCAAGAAACAGUGACUCCCCACAAUCUACAGCUGCCAAAAUUGUUGCCCUAGUCUCACAGAACUGCCCUGGGCACAAACUGACCAGCAAUGGCCUUUCGAGGAAGCGAAGAUGCUUGUGAUAAAUUCUCUUCCAGACAGUUGGACAUCUGCUCUCCUUAGAGGGACGACUUCUAUGGUAGAAGCAUCUACUGUCUACUUGCUGCCCUGAGGACUGCUGUCAGAAUAAAACCCACAGGGGCAGUUAAGGCUUUGUGUGAGAGAAUAUGGAUUCUAGAAGCUUCCUUGAGACGUAUGAAUGUUCUCAGGGGGAGAGGAGGAGGGAUACUUUGUACCUGCUAGCGAUUCCUUUCAAACUUGCUCCCUUCUGUUCCCUGAGGCCUCCCUGUUAUUAUGAUUUUUUAGUCAUUUAUUUUUGUGUUUCACUUAAACCUCUUGUUCGUCGUUGAUGUGCAGACUUUGGGUCUGGUUAAUUUUAGUCCAUGAUGUUCUUUAUUCCCAGGUUUUUUUUUUAUAAUAAAGUUUAUUUUAAAAAUCAACUUUGCGUGGGCAGGAGAGAUGGUGAAAUGCUUUAAAAGCAGUUGUCCUUCAUGCAGAAGACACAGGUUCGUUUACCAGAACCCAUUUAAUGGCUCACAACCGUCCAUAACGCCAGUUCCAGGGGAAUCCAAAGUCUUCUGGCCUCCAGGGCACUGCAUG
Molecule: small RNA, 851 nt
Filed under: Rattus norvegicus (Norway rat)
Lineage: Eukaryota; Metazoa; Chordata; Mammalia; Rodentia; Muridae
Description: ST6 beta-galactoside alpha-2,6-sialyltransferase 1 like (St6gal1l)
Source: RNAcentral